GAGUUUGAUCUUGGCUCAGAUUGAACGCUGGCGGCAUGCCUUACACAUGCAAGUCGAACGGCAGCACGGGAGCUUGCUCCUGGUGGCGAGUGGCGAACGGGUGAGUAAUGCAUCGGAACGUAUCCUGGAGUGGGGGGAUAACGUAGCGAAAGUUACGCUAAUACCGCAUAUUCUGUGAGCAGGAAAGCGGGGGACCUUCGGGCCUCGCGCUCUUGGAGCGGCCGAUGUCGGAUUAGCUAGUUGGUGAGGUAAAGGCUCACCAAGGCGACGAUCCGUAGCAGGUCUGAGAGGAUGAUCUGCCACACUGGAACUGAGACACGGUCCAGACUCCUACGGGAGGCAGCAGUGGGAAUUUUGGACAAUGGGGGCAACCCUGAUCCAGCCAUGCCGCGUGAGUGAAGAAGGCCUUGGU
Molecule: ribosomal RNA, 412 nt
Filed under: bacterium enrichment culture clone ALO1_GLFRUDD03GLNJV
Lineage: Bacteria
Description: bacterial SSU rRNA
Rfam family: Bacterial small subunit ribosomal RNA
Source: RNAcentral